This 251-nucleotide ribosomal RNA is filed under the name Cylindrospermopsis raciborskii C04. Its description in RNAcentral is "partial 16S ribosomal RNA". It matches the Rfam family "Bacterial small subunit ribosomal RNA", at positions 1 to 279 of the family's 1533-position model. Lineage: Bacteria; Bacillati; Cyanobacteriota; Cyanophyceae; Nostocales; Aphanizomenonaceae. The record is from RNAcentral.
AAAACGGAGAGUUUGAUCCUGGCUCAGGAUGAACGCUGGCGGUAUGCUUAACACAUGCAAGUCGAACGGGAUGCUUAGGCAUCUAGUGGCGGACGGGUGAGUAACGCGUGAGAAUCUGGCUCCAGGUCGGGGAUAACAGUUGGAAACGACUGCUAAUACCGGAUGUGCCGAGAGGUGAAAGAUUUAUUGCCUGGAGAUGAGCUCGCGUCUGAUUAGCUAGUUGGUGGUGUAAGGGACCACCAAGGCGUCGA